UUUUUUCCCCCUCCUUAACUCUGCUCUACCAGAAGCCCAACCAAUGUCACUCACUAGCUGAGCUCUGGCCAGUGGCAGGUCCCUUUGGAGUCAUCUGGAGCUGGCCCUUAAUCUAACAUGGGGCAGCUACUGGACUCUUCUCACAGAGAUCACCCCUGCAGCCCCUUGCUACCAAAACAUUGCCAUGGUAACCGAAUAGAGGCACAAACACCCCUUGUGACUUUGGACAAGCCAGUACAUAUGUUGUUCUUGGAUAUAUUGCUCUUUGCCAGUUAGUCAUCUGCUUUUACUUUAAAUGUCAAACUUCGGUGCUCCACAGGAUACAAAAUAAUCAUAGAAUUGCAGAUGCCACUGCUCUGUUCUACAUCUUAAUUCUACACUUAUGGAAGAUGAUGGAGAGAGUCCAAAAGAAGCAAAACAAUGCUAGUGCAUACCACUGUGACUCUACCAAAUCAGUGCAGAUGAAUUUUGUGAAGAAACAUCAACUCUCAGGAAGACUUAAAAAAUACAUAUAUUACCAGAGACUGAGCAAGUACUUGAGGUCAGAGUGUGAUAUCAUUUACACUAGCAUCAAUCUGGAUUACCCCCAUUGGUUCCACAGCAGUUGUCUUCAGUAGAGAUACUCUGGAUUUAGAACCAUGCAAGUAAAACAACCAUUUAACAUACUGGACACUGUGAAGUGAUAUGCAGAUAAAAGCAGUCAGAGUCAAACUCUGCCCCGGGUUAUAUCCGUGCAGCUCCUCUGAAGUCACUAAGUGCUUUCUUUGUCUCCCUAAUGCUUUGCAAUAUUUCUUGUCUCUUGUAUAAUACUUUUCUUUCCCUGACACAGACUCCUGCAGUUCUCUCCAAAAAAAUGGUGACGAACUAGCUGAGCAGUGACCUUUCAUAAUGAGAAAUACCACAACACUGUCUGUCUCACCAUAUUUUAACUGUUUCCUUUGCUGUACAACUGGCAACAAGGGGCUGCUUUUCACAUGUUUCGCAGUUCAGCAAUGGUAGCCUACAGCUUUUCAGCUAUUUUGACUGGUUUCAUAUUUGCAUUUGAAUGAGAAUCAGCCUGAUACUCUUUUUUCCAAACACAUAGGAAAAAAAAUGUGCCUUCUAUGUUACAUGCAUAAAAAGUGUGUGAAAUUAAUGGAGACUGUGCACAUAAUUGUGAAGAAAGAUGAAUUCUAAACCUAGUGAAAUUACAGUGGGAUGGCAUGGUAGGUUACCAAGGCUGUUGAACUGAAAUCUAUAUCUGUAUAAAUAGAAUAUAUAUAUAAGAGUAGCCGUCCUAUAACUGGUUUUUUUUUUUUUUUUUUUUUUUUUUUUUUUUUUUUUGAGAAAGAGAGAGAGAGAGAGGUACAGCAUCAGAGAAAAUCUGAUCAUCUCCUCUGUGCUACUUUUGUGGUUUUUGUGUUUCUGAAGGGAAGACAUUUCCUAUAGCUUGCCUAAAUACUGAGGACACUAAUGAAUUGCUUUAGAUAAGAGCAGUGUGUCCACCCAUUUUCAGCUUUUUGUCCUGGCAACUCUGCUUUUCUCUGUAGAUAAUGCUGCAGCAUUAUAACUCCAGACCAGCUAAACUGAGUGCUUAAGAGACCAUCUAUUUUAUAUGUUCCCCCAGAUUUUCUUAUCCUUCUUCACAUAGUAACAUAAUCAGAGUCUCGGGGGGUUUGACAUUGAGACAUACCAGAUUUUAAAAGUAUUCAAUCUUAAAAAUCUUAAAAAAAAAAAAAUAAAUAAAUCUUAGAAAUCUUUUAAUCUUUAAAA
Molecule: long non-coding RNA, 1752 nt
Filed under: Anas platyrhynchos platyrhynchos (common mallard)
Lineage: Eukaryota; Metazoa; Chordata; Aves; Anseriformes; Anatidae
Description: lncRNA (ENSAPLG00000021551.1)
Source: RNAcentral